This 96-nucleotide ribosomal RNA is filed under the name Loxodes vorax. RNAcentral's name for it is "partial 28S ribosomal RNA". It matches the Rfam family "Eukaryotic large subunit ribosomal RNA", at positions 1 to 96 of the family's 3401-position model. The record is from RNAcentral. Lineage: Eukaryota; Ciliophora; Karyorelictea; Loxodida; Loxodidae.
GUGAUCUGAGGGGAGCAAGAUAACCCGCUGAACUUAAGCAUAUCAGUAAGCGGAGGAAAAGAAACUAACAAGGAUGGCCUCAGUAACGGCGAGUGA